Erinaceus europaeus (western European hedgehog) is the source of this 313-nucleotide non-coding RNA. Lineage: Eukaryota; Metazoa; Chordata; Mammalia; Eulipotyphla; Erinaceidae. The record is from Rfam.
GGAUGUGAGGGCGAUCUGGCUGCGACAUCUGUCACCCCAUUGAUUGCCAGGGUUGAUUCUGCUCAUCUGGCUGGCUAGGCAGUGUCCCCUUCCUCCCUCACCGCUCCAUGUGCGUUCCUCCUGAAGCUGCAUGCUCGAUCGAAGAGGACGGCCUUCCCUGAAUAGAGACGGACUGGUCUUUCAUCAAGGGUAUAUGAGUAGCUGUACUCCCCUGUUAGAACCUCCAAACAAGCUCUCAAGGUCCAUAGGUUGAAAGAAUUAACAUGAUUAAAAUUAAUAUACUACCUAGAGCCAUCUACAAAUUUAAUGCUAU